AGUUUAUUUCUAGGCUGAGUACAUGGCUAUACUUGGAUCUCCCUUUGCCUUUAUCUCUGGGAUUUCCUUUGCUCUUUCUUGGAUUGACGUUCUCAUUUCCCAGACUCCAUGUCUUCCUCUUUCUUGCUUUGCCUCAUAAUUUUGGACUUACCUAGUAGCUUCUUCUUCUUUUUUUUUUUUUUCCUUUUUCACAUCAGAUGGGAAAUGUGCCAACGUCACAACAAGGUUUGAGGGAGGCACAUCUCAUGCUCGGACAUGAACACCCGAUCAUCAUGCUUAUGAACUACAAAAGGAUCUCCAGUAUGGGCUCACGGCAGCCUAUUCAACGUGAAGAUGACUAAGUUAUCAAGGACUCCGUUCUCCCUCUCCAAGCUGACAAGAAAACUACACCAGGUAAGGAAGACUUCAUUUAAGACUUUUGCAAUAGAGGAUGAAGAUUGAACUCAAUUCUGCUCAAACAAAAGCAGGCUGAUUUUUGAGCACUGGGUGAGCUAGUGGAAAAGUCCUGGAAGACUUUAGCAGGGUGGUUAGUCAAUUUGAUUAGGUCAUCUGUGUUUGCUAACUGUUGCUUGUCUAAGUUAAGCUCCUAUUCUCUCAUAGAAACUGGGAGAUGGGGUCUCUCUCUUUCUUGAUAAUUACAUUUCAAAGGGACAGCUCCCAGGUCCUUGAGAAAGACAUUCUUGGGUUGUAAAACUGGCAGGAGAUUGGGAGAAGAUUUGCAUCUCAAAGAGUCAAGAAAGAAUUUACAAUUAAAAGUUUCCUACCAUAAAUGGUCUAAGAAAAGGAGGUCAGGGGCCUCUAGUCAGGAAGAAAUCUUUCUAAAGUUGAAUCAAGCUGGGGAGAACUUUAGUGGUGUUUUGGUCAUAGCACAAACCUCUUUUAUACUGGCUUUCAUUGUAUUAUAACCAAGUCUUUUGCCUCAUAAAACACAAGCCUCUUAAACAGUAAGUCAUGGCCUGACUGCAUCAAGCUCAGUGCCACGCUCAUUGAAAUACCCAGUAACUGUUUAUUAAAUGAAUAUAUAAAGACUCCAAACACACAUAAUAAAAAGCCCUGGGGUACCUGGCUGUUUACUUCUAUUUCUAUCCUGAAAUGCCUUUUGCUGUAGACUUUAACAGAUGUGAAACUGAAAGGAGAGCUUUCUCUUGUGUAAUUUUUCCUUUCAAGUAAAUCGAAUUGAAAGAGUCUUCCUGAGAGCAAAUGUUAGGAGUUAAUCUUAUUGCGGAUGACAGUUAUGUCUAAAAUGUCUUCUU
This 1253-nucleotide long non-coding RNA is filed under the name Homo sapiens (human). RNAcentral describes it as "HSALNT0349450". Lineage: Eukaryota; Metazoa; Chordata; Mammalia; Primates; Hominidae. The record is from RNAcentral.